Rosa chinensis is the source of this 2086-nucleotide long non-coding RNA. RefSeq lists it as uncharacterized. The transcript is spliced from 9 exons. The record is from RefSeq and is a predicted model, not a curated record. NCBI's taxonomy places the organism in Eukaryota, Viridiplantae, Streptophyta, Magnoliopsida, Rosales, Rosaceae.
CUUUUCCUUUUCUCUCGCUCAGUCGCUCUCCUCACUCUCCUCGCUCUGAACUGUACGGAGCUUUCAAAUUUCAAUUGGUUUUUGGAGAAAGUUCAGAAGCUACAAGCUACAACUUGAAGGCACCAAUUAAACAACAUAGUUUGCAAUUCAGCGAUUACAUUUCAAUUGAUGGGAAGUUGUAAACCUAAUCGAGAAGAGAAGGAAGAAGAUGUAUUAGGGUAAUUGGGUUUUAAUCUGAGAAAGAAGAAGAUGAAUUUGGAUAUCGUAGAAUGGUGCUCUAAUUGAUUUCCCAGGUUUCAAACUCUGUGCAUGUAUUUUAGUCGCCUGCUUAAAGGUUUGAAGUUAGGUUCCGGAGCCUUUGGGUCCGAUAGAGGAAUUUGAGUUGCAAUCAUCUUCAGGUUAGACCUUUUUUUAUUUCCAAGAAAAUAAGUUCUUUGAAAUUUUUAGCUGGUUUUGAAAUUGGCAUUCAACAAUUUAUGUUCUUAAAUUGUUUUUUUGUUGCUGAUAUUGCUUGCUUCUAUGUUUUGGGGUUUACUCUUGAGUUUGUGAAGGGUAAAGAUCGACUCUUUUCUCAUGUAAAUUGAGGGGACUGAUGGGAAUUUAAAGAAAUGGGGUUUGUGUUGUUAGUUAAAACGGGAUGUGUGUCCCGCUAAACAAAGUUUGGGUCUUUUCUCAUGUAAAUUGAGAGGCUUGAAGGGAAUUUGAAGAGAUAGAACAGUAGAUGACAGAGCUUCAAACUCUUAUUUGGUUGGAGGGCAUGCAGUAUCGACAGAAAGAGUCCUCUGCAAAUUUCAACUACUCCACAACAUUAUGGGCUCUAAUUAUGGAUUUGCAGUGAUCAUGAUUUGACUGUGUGUGUAAAAACUCAAGAGGAAGUUGAUGAAGACAGGAUCAGUAAAAUGCCAGAUGAUGUUCUCUGCUUUCAGGUCAAGAUAGGUUGCUAUUCUGUACAUAUUCUUAAACACCUUUGUGGAGAGGAGACCUCACGUAUUCCAAAUGAUGAAGAACCCAGUUGUGAUGGCGUAAGCAGACUUGCAAACCAUACAUUCAGCCAUUUGGGCAAGCAUUACCCCUGGAGCUGUAUUGAUCGUUAUGGCUGGAAGAUUCAAGGCCAAUAGGGUUGUCUUUUUGAAGCAUCAUUCUUCUUGCUUGCUUUUGGUCACUGUUAUAUUUUUGUUUUUCUUAACUAUGUGAGAAAUUGUUUUUACUUUUGGUUACCAAGUAGUGCCUUUUGAUGAAUGUUACAUGUAGUUUGCUAUGUUUGAGUGUCAUUGUGAAUGUAUAAUGUAUGUAAUGUUUGCAAAUGUAGUAUUAUUAAGCUGACCACCCGCAGCAUUGCGCGGGCCGCAAUACCUAGUCUAGAAUUAAGUUGGAAAAUUAUCGCGUUGUACUCUGUAUAGGAUUCAUCAGAGAGCACGAUUCCUCCAUAGUCAUCUCCAUUUCAAUAGCAGCUUAACAGAAACUCCAGUACGUGUUUGGAGACAGAGAGAAUUGAAAGAACCCAGAUCUGAUUUUCUUCGAAGCGAAUGAGAGCAUGACUCCUCCGUAGCAGAUCGAUUGAUUUUCUUCCUCUCUUUCUCUCUCUUAUAUCUUUAACUCCAGAUCUGAUCUUGGAUUUAAGAAGCAGAUCCAUUCCAGGUAUUUCACUUCCAAUACAAUAAAAAGUGGGCUUCUGCAUCAUGGGUUCCAAACUCCAAGCCAAACUAAAGUUCCUCUCAAAAAAGCUGCUCAUAAAAUGAGUGAAUAAUUUUGGUUUAAGUUAUAAAUUGAUUUGUAAUCUGAUCGUCGAUGCUUAUUGGUUUAAAUGGCUAACAUUCCAACAGAUAGCAAAUUCUUCGAUCUUGAUCUCAGGUGUCAUUUGGCAUAAGGGGGUUCUGGUCUUCUGGAGAUGCAGCAGACGAAGGGGAAGAUGAAGAGAACGGGAAGAUGAAGAAAUGAAGAAUUAAUCUGGAGUGUGUUUCUUUGUUCAAUCAUGUAUAUUUUGUUUGUAUAUUUAUUGACAGUCAUCCCCUUCCCCCUCCUAAGCUCCUUGUAUUGAAUAUGAUGAGAAUUUUAAUAAUAAAUAUUAUUGGUUGUUCUUCAAAUA